AGCGAACGCUGGCGGCAGGCCUAACACAUGCAAGUCGAACGAACCUUUCGGGGUUAGUGGCGGACGGGUGAGUAACACGUGGGAACGUGCCUUUAGGUUCGGAAUAACUCAGGGAAACUUGUGCUAAUACCGAAUGUGCCCUUCGGGGGAAAGAUUUAUCGCCUUUAGAGCGGCCCGCGUCUGAUUAGCUAGUUGGGUGAGGUAAUGGCUCACCAAGGCGACGAGCAGUAGCUGGUCUGUGAGGAUGAUCAGCCACAUUGGGACUGAGACACGGCCCAAACUCCUACGGGAGGCAGCAGUGGGGAAUCUUGCGCAAUGGGCGAAAGCCUGACGCAGCCAUGCCGCGUGAAUGAUGAAGGUCUUAGGAUUGUAAAAUUCUUUCACCGGGGACGAUAAUGACGGUACCCGGAGAAGAAGCCCCGGCUAACUUCGUG
Molecule: ribosomal RNA, 434 nt
Filed under: uncultured bacterium
Lineage: Bacteria
Description: partial 16S ribosomal RNA
Rfam family: Bacterial small subunit ribosomal RNA
Source: RNAcentral